Molecule: long non-coding RNA, 862 nt
Organism: Mustela lutreola (European mink)
Lineage: Eukaryota; Metazoa; Chordata; Mammalia; Carnivora; Mustelidae
Exons: 4
Source: RefSeq, a predicted model, not a curated record
GUCUGUGUCUGUGUCUGUGUCUGUGUGUGUAUGUUGCGGGUGGGGGGUACGUAAAUCGUUUUGUGUGGAUGGCCCCAGAGCAGCGUUACCCAGGUGCCAGGGGUGGGGCAGCCAGCCUUUGGAGGGAGGCCUAGUGUGAGCCGGGACGUCUUCACUGGCUCGUGUUUUCUCCAGUGAAUCUGACCAACUUUGUCCAUGCCUUUCAGGAUCACUUGCUGAGAGCAGAGAAGAGUGAGAGGACCAGUUAUCAGCAUAAAGCUGUCUGCUCUCGCUCCAGAAGGCACUUGUGUGUUCUGCUUACCGACAGGGUCAUGGUCAAGCCCCUGAUAUCUGGAGGUCGCAGGCCUGCUGGCUUUUGUGGCUGCUUGAAAUCCUCCUUUACUGCCUACUUUUUGGGAAGUACAAGUAGAGGGAGAGGAUGAAAGAGAAGCAGGAUCUGCACUGAGCAGGGAGCCAGAUGCAGGGCUGGAUCCCAGGACCCUGGACAGAUGCUGCACUGAGGGAGCCACCCAGACACCCUUUUAGACCUAGGAUGCAGAUGUGUGGAGGGCCAUGGAUGACUUGGAUGCAGUUGGGGUCAUCUCACGGCACAUGGAAUACACAAUUUAUCUUGCUUCCUGUCUUGAUAACGACAUCUUGGUUUUCAUGCUGUCUUAGAACAAGUAGAACUUGACUUACAUAGGUAGAGACUGAUGCAAAGGGAGAAGUUUGGUGGUUCUCCACUGGCCACAGCUAAGCUAGCAAAAAGCAAAAAGCAGAGCCUGCAUUGGAACCAGGCACUGUGGCUCCAGACUCCAACUCUUCACCCUUGGGCUUCUUGCAGCACGCCUGAUUUCUUGUCACUAAGAACUUGGUGCAGGAG